AUUGAACGCUGGCGGCAUGCUUUACACAUGCAAGUCGAACGGCAGCGCGGGCUUCGGCCUGGCGGCGAGUGGCGAACGGGUGAGUAAUACAUCGGAACGUGCCCAGUAGUGGGGGAUAGCCCGGCGAAAGCCGGAUUAAUACCGCAUACGACCUGAGGGUGACAGCGGGGGAUCUUCGGACCUCGCGCCAUUGGACCGGCCGAUGGCCGCUUAGCUAGUUGGUGGGGUAAAGGCCUACCGAGGCGACGAUCUGUAGCUGGUCUGAGUGGACGACCAGCCACACUGGGACUGAGACACGGCCCAGACUCCUACGGGAGGCAGCAGUGGGGAAUUUUGGACAAUGGGCGAAAGCCUGAUCCAGCAAUGCCGCGUGUGUGAUGAAGGCCUUCGGGUUGUAAAGCACUUUUGGCGGGAACGAAAAGGACUGUGCCAAUACCACGGUUCGAUGACGGUACCCGCAGAAUAAGCACCGGCUAACUACGUG
This 484-nucleotide ribosomal RNA is filed under the name uncultured bacterium. RNAcentral describes it as "partial 16S ribosomal RNA". It matches the Rfam family "Bacterial small subunit ribosomal RNA", at positions 28 to 507 of the family's 1533-position model. The record is from RNAcentral.